This 7556-nucleotide long non-coding RNA is filed under the name Hordeum vulgare. RNAcentral describes it as "long non-coding RNA (HVUL_LNC013219)". Lineage: Eukaryota; Viridiplantae; Streptophyta; Magnoliopsida; Poales; Poaceae. The record is from RNAcentral.
UUGUGAACAAUGUCUUACUUGAUUUUCCGGAUCUCGAGCGGGCCUCCGGUGACAUGGUAAACAGUUACUCUCUGAUCCCAAUAUAUUCUCUGAUCAUGUCAACAACGUCUUGAUUGACACUGUUUUGAUCAACAAUAACGACAACAACAACAAAGUCUUUAGUCCCAAACAAGUUAGGGUAGCUAGAGGUGAAAUCCUUAAGAUCUCGCUGUUAGGAAAGCAACUUAUCUUUAUUGAAGGCCCAAGGGGCAUAUAUAUAUUACACAUGACUUUGUUAGGAAAGCAACUUGUCUAUAUUGAAGGCCCAAGGGGCAUAUAUAUAUAUAUUACACAUGACUUGAUGUGCAAGGAAAGUAAAGAUAGACUAAUAAGGACUCCUAGACUAAUACUAAUAGACUAAUAAGGACCCCCUCAAAUGCAAAGUGUAUGCAAUAGCAUUGCAUUUGAAGAAGUGUAAUACUAAAAAAAAAAUGAUAAUCCAAAUCCGCGUCUUGAGAGUGUCGUCGUAGCAUGAAGAGUCUUCCCCCCCUCAAAUGCAAAGUGUAUGCAAUAGCAUUGCAUUUGAAGAAGUGUAAUACUAAAAAAAAAAUGAUAAUCCAAAUCCGCGUCUUGAGAGUGUCGUCGUAGCAUGAAGAGUCUUCAAAACUUGUCGAGUCGCCGAAGGAGAGAACGAAGAGAUGGCACAUCAGAGGUAGACACUGCAUCACUUGAAGAUACAAGAUAAGUAUCAAGAGAAGAUGGGUUGUCAAAAGAAGAUGGCACAUCAAGAGAAUAAAGCAUUGUGCAGAAAAUCAUAGUCCACGACAACCGUCGGCGAAAGAAGCUCAGCGGAUAAGGCACGAUGGACGUAGAACGACAAUGCAAAAGAAGUCCAGAAAAUCUUAUAGAAAACAACAAGGGCAAAUAGGCCACAAAAGUUGCAUAGAAAGGAUCAGGACCGGAGAAAGGCUGACGGACUAAGGUAUGGUGGACUCGCAUGGCAUGAGAAAACACAAAAUAUCAACGGAUUUGGUGGACGCAGCGGAAAACAAAGAAAACUAGAAAACACACACUAGAUUAGGGAUGAUGGCAGCGGAAGAGAAAAAAAAAGAUCAUGGCGGCGAAGGCCAAUUCCAACCAGAGUGUGCGUAAGACGGUCCUGGCUGUGUAGAAGGUGGUUGCUCAGUGCGGGAAGUCUGAGUCAGAAUACCAGCAGUACCCGUCGAGGAAGAACCUGAAGUAGCGAGCAGACGCUUAAGUUGCAGAAUAUCCUGCUCAGUCAAAGCGAUGGCUGAAGCUGUCGAGGUAGAUGACGAAGUCUCUGUAGAUGAUGAUUGCGCCUGACGCAAGUGUUUCUUCUUCGUGUAGCAGUGGGACUUAAUAUGACCAUCAUUGUUGCAGUAGCCACAAUGUGAACGGGGGCGACCUGAGCCUCCAGAAGGAGUGGGCAAGAGCGGCGGAGCACUCGAGUGAGAAGGGGUCGGUGCAGCAGGGGGCGUAGAAGUAGCCCGAGCAGCGAGCACCGAGGGAACCUCCAGCAAACCAGCACCACGUAAGCGAGUCCCCUCAGCACGAAUCUCAGAAAGCGCCUCCAUGAGAGAAAUACAGCCACGAGCAAACAACUUGCACGCCGAGGCUCAAACUCCUUACGGAGCCGAGACAGGAACUCGUAGACACGAUGAAACUCCAAGUUGGUCUGGACAACCUGGCAACAGGGGCAAGUACAACAACCAGCAGUGCGGAGAGAAUCGAGCUGGCGCCAGAUAGCAGAACUCUGUGCAUAGAAGUCAUCAACAGUAGAGUCACCCUGCUGAAGAGCAUGCUCCUGACGAACCACGGAGAGGUAUAAGGCAUCACCAGAGGGCGCAUAGCGCUGACGAAGGCGAGUCCACAUCUCAAAGGCAGUAGGAAGGCCCAAAAACUCAGAGACAAACUGAGGCAGAACGCUAGCAGUGAGAACAGCUGCAGCACGAGCAUCAUCAUCAAGCCACUGGGUGUAAGCAGACAGAGCACCAUGAUACGUCUGAAGAGCCUCCUCAUAAGCCAAAGCCUUCUCAUCAUAAGCACGGAUAGCGACCUCAUCAGCAAGCUUAGUUGUAUCCUUUGCGGCCUGAGAAGCAUCCGCAGGAAGAGCCGGUGGGGUCGGCGGAGUGGGAGCCACGGGAGGAACUGGGCAUGGCGGACAGCAGACCUCGCCAGAAAGAAUACCCCAUAGACGGAUGCCACGCAUGUGAAUGCACAUGAACCCAAUGAACUCAGUGUAGUUACUACCAUCGAAGAUCACCGAACAACGAGGGACAGCAACAUAGCCGGAUGCAACAGACUUUUUUUUUUUGGAACUCAGUGGCGAGCCGCGUCCGCGUCUGACAGCAGGAUUGGAGACGACGUGGUAUGGUGAGAUGAGGCGUCAGAUCUGGCGGAGCCGUCUGAUGGAAACUGCCUCGAUCUGGAGAUGGGAAUCACGUCCGCUGGGAACAGCCUUGAUCUGCUGAUGGGAACACGUCCCUGCUGAUGGAACACGUCCCUGCUGGGAACAGCCUCGAUCUGUGGAGGGAACCACGUCCGCUGGGAACCGCUCGAUCGGGAGGCUCACGAGGCACGGGAGGAACCGCCUCGAUCGGACCGCUGCGAUCUGGCGAGCGACGGGAGGGACCACUCGAUCUGGCGAGCCACAGGAGGGAACCUCGAGGAGGACUCGAUCGAGACGAACGGGAGAUCGAGGACGAGAUUGGAUAGAAGCACGAGUUGCGCGUGCAUAAAAAAAAACCUAGGGCUCUAAUACCAUGUUAGGAAAGCAACUUGUCUAUAUUGAAGGCCCAAGGGGCAUAUAUAUAUUACACAUGACUUAAGGUGCAAGGAAAGUAAACAUAGACUAAUAAGGACUCCUAGACUAAUACUAAUAGACUAAUAAGGACCCCCUCAAAUGCAAAGUGUAUGCAAUAGCAUUGCAUUUGAAGAAGUGUAAUACUAAAAAAAAAAUGAUAAUCCAAAUCCGCGUCUUGAGAGUGUCGUCGUAGCAUGAAGAGUUCGCGACCAACUCAUGGUUCUGGCACAUGGGUGGCAAGUUUCCAAGCACUCGUCUCCAUGGCUAAUUCUUUGGUGAUACUCCAGUCGUUCAAAUCUCUAUUUACUGACUCCUCUCAUGUCAAGUUCGGUCUACACCGACCUCUUUUGACAUUAUCAGCACGCUUUAGCCGUCUGCUAUGCACUGGAGCUUCUGAAGGCCUGCGCUGAAUAUGCCCAAACCAUCAGACGAUGUUGGACAAGCUUCUCUUCAAUCGUGCUAUCCCAACUCUAUCUCGUAUAUCAUCAUUUCGGACUCGGCCCUUCCUUGUGUGUUCACACAUCCAUCUCAACAUGUGUAUCCCUGCCACACCUAAUUGUUGCACAUGUCGCCUUUUAGUUGGCCAACACUCAGCACCAUACAACAUUGCGGGUCGAACCGCCGUCUUAUAGAACUUGCUUUUUUAGCUUUUGAUGCACUCUAUUGUCCCAGAAAAUGCGAGAAGCUUGGCGUCACUUCAUCCAUCCGGCUUUGAUUCGAUGGUUCACAUCUUCAUCGAUAUCCCCACCCUUCUGCAACAUUGACCCCAAAUGUCGAAAGGUGUCCUUCUAAGGCACCAGCUGUCCAUCAAGGCUAACCUCCCCCUCCCCCUCGUGCAUAUAGUACUGAAAUUGCACCUCAUGUACUCGAUUUUAGUUUCACUAAGUCUAAAACCUUUCGAUUUCAUGGUUUGUGUCCAUAGCUCUAACUUCCUAUUGACCCUCGUCCGACAAUCAUCGACUAGCACCACAUCAUCCGCAAAGAGCAUACAUCAUGGGAUAUCUCCUUGUAUAUCUGUUGUGACCUCAUCCAUCACCAAAGCGAUAAGAUAAGGGCUCAAAGUUGACCCUUGGUCCACUCCUAUUUUAAUCGAGAAGUCAUCAAUGUCGCCAUUACUUGUUCGAACACUUGUCACAACAUCAUCGUACAUGUCCUUGAUGAGGGUAAUGUACUUUGCUAGGGACUUCCUAUUUCUCCAAGUCCCACCACUUGACAUUUCGCGGUAUCUUAACGUAGGCCUUCUUCAAGUCAAUGAACACCAUAUGUAGGUCCUUCUUUUACUCUUUGUAUCUCUCCAUAAGUUAUCGUACCAAGAAAAUGGCUUCCAUGGUCGACCUCCCAGGCAUGAAACCAAACUGAUUUUUGGUCACGCUCGUCAUACUUCUUAAGUGAUGCUCAAUGACUCUCUCUCAUAACUUCAUUGUAUGGCUCAUCAGCUUAAUUCCAUGGUAAUUAGUACAACUCUGAACACCCACCUUGUUCUUGAAGAUUGGUGCUAAUAUACUUCCUCUUCAUUCCUCUCGCAUCUUGUUUGCCCGAAAAAUGAGGUUGAAAAGCUUGGUUAGCAUACAAUCGUUAUGUCCCCGAGGCCUCUCCACGCCUCAAUGGGGAUACAAUCAGGGCCCAUUGCCUUGCCUCUUUUCAUCCUUUUAAAAGCCAACUUGACCUCAGACUCCUGGAUUCGCUGCGCAAGAUGCCAGCUAGUACCAUCAAAGGAAUCGUCUAGUUCAAUCGUAGAGCUCUCAUUCUCCCCAUUGAACAACUUGUCGAAAUACUCCCGCCAUCUAUGCUUAAUCUCCUCGUCCUUCACAAGGAGCUAGUCUGCUCCGUCCUUGAUACAUUUGACUUGGUCAACAUCCCUUGUCUUCCUCUCUCAGAUCUUGGCCAUCUUAUAGAUGUCCCUUUCGCCUUCUUUCGUGUCUAACCGCUGGUAGAGGUCCUCAUACGCUCGGCCCCUUGCUUUACUCACAGCUUGCUUUGCAGUCUUCUUUGCCAUCUCGUACUUCUCUAUGUUUGUCCGCACUCCUAUCCAGGUAUAGGCGCCUGAAACAAUCUUCCUUCUCCUUAAUAGUCUUUUGGACAUUAUCGUUCCACCACCAGGUAUCACUUCUACUUCCCUUGGACACUCCAUACUCCUUUGAGGCCACCUUACGAAUGCAAGUCGCCAUCUUCAUCCACAUAUUGUCUGCAUCACCUCCUUCCUCCCAAGGGCCCUCCUUAAUGAUCCUCUCCUUGAACGCCUAAGCUACCGCUCACCUGAGAUUCCACCACUUCGUUCUAGCUACUUUGGCGUGCUUGUCCCGCUGGACACGAAUCCGAAAGCGGAAGUCAGCAACCACAAGCUUAUGCUCAGGGACAACACUCUCUGCAGGUAUCACUUUAUAAUCAAGGCACACACACCUGUCUUCUCUUCUCGAGAGGAUGAAAUCAAUCUGGCUAGAGUGUUGACCACUACUAAAAGUAACUAGAUGUGAUUCUAUCUUCUUAAAGAGGGUGUUAGCUACGAUCAUGUCGUAGGCUAGAGCAAAGCUUAACACAUCUUCUCCUUCUUGAUUCCUGAUGCCAUAGACAUAGCCAAAGCCCCCAUGCACUCCUUCAAAACCGGUGUUAGAUGUGCCCACGUGGCCAUUGAGGUCUUCUCCCAUGAAGAGCCUCUCGCCAAUCGGUACACUCCUAACCAUGUCCUCCAGGCCUUCCCAGAACUCUCUUUGGUGUUCUCAUUGUGGCCUAAAUGCGGGGGAUACGAGUUGAUAACAAUGAGAAUUAAGUCCACAACUAUCAGCUUGACUAGGAGAAUCCAGUCCUCACGUCUCUUGACAUCUACCACUCCAUACUUGAGGGUCUUGUUGAUCAACAUGCCUACUCCAUUUUUGUUUGCAGCCGUCCCCGUGUACAACGGCUUGAAGCCGGUACCCUCCACCUCCUCGCCUUUUGUCCCCUCCAUUUGGUUUCUUGGAUGCAAAGGAUAUCAACACCUCUCCUCAUCGCUAUAUCAGCUAGCUCCCGAAGCUUACCUGUCAGGGACCCUACGUUCCAGCUAGCUAAGUGGCUUCUCCUUGGCUCGCUUCCUUACCCUUCGCACUCGUCGAGUAAAAUGCAAAGACCCUUGCUCAUUUUCCACUACACCCGUGCGUCGAUGUAGUGCACCACUAAGGAUGCGAUGAUCCGAUCCUUGCUCACUUGCCAUCAUAUCCAGAUCAAGAUACAGUGCGCCGCCAGGGGAUGACGGCCAGACCCUUGUCCAUUUGACACCACACCCGGGUUUCGAUGUGGCGCGUCGCUGAGAGGGUUAUGCCCCAAUGAAAAUCUUUUGGGUUUCAUCUCCAUAAGAGCGGCUAAGUUUUGACGUUGGCUCGUCAAGCCUAUCACAACCCUCCUCCUUUACCCGGGCUUGGGACCGGCUAUGUUGAGACAACAUAGUCAAUAUUGUCUUGAUCCCUCUAAUAUAUUCUCUGAUUCGGUCAUGUCAUGCGCUUAUUUCAACAUAAACUGAAUAUUAUUCAUUAUUGUAUAAUCUAUUAAUUUUGUAUGAAGAAAACAUGAUGCAUGACUGUCUGUAUAAUGAUGCCCACCAGUCAAACAUAGUAGGUGCUCCAGAUUUUACUCACUGAAUUGCAUCUUUUAAUUUGUGAUGAUAAACAAUUGGACCCUCAUUAGUAUUCGUAUGCUAUCUUUGCAGUUGGUACACCACUAAAGUGUUGUUGCUUUUGCCAUUUAAAUUUGACUACAUAGAACUAGGAUCCUACUGCAUGGAAUUUCUGGAUCAAAUCAAAACUACCUUUCUGCAAUUAACUUACUUUAUUUACAUGCUUUGAUGCUAGUUACCGGGAUUCCAUCACUCAUGUUUUCUUUCGCAUUAUGGAAUAAUAGCUACAUCAGAUCUUAUAUGUUGAAAUUUUACAGGUUUGGGAGGUUCGACCAAAGGCGAAAUUUAACAAAGGCGAUGCACUGGAUCAUUUAUACCGGUAUCUGCUUCAGCAUCUCCAGGUGGAAAGCUCGCAGGUUCUAGCAAUUCACAUCGGAGAUGAUACUACUGACGAGAACGCUUUCUCGGUAAGAUACUGAAAAGAUCAUCUAAAUUGCUCUCAUUUCUUAAAGUUCUGGUACUAAGAAUUUAUCCUACAAUCAGAUGCUCCGUGAGAAGGGGUAUGGAUUUGGGAUACGCGUCCAGACGGAGCCCAAGCUCACUGAAGCCACUUACUCACUUAAAGAUCCUUACGAGGUGAUGGGGUUUCUUAAGAAGCUAGUGAAAUGGAAAAAGCUUCUGUCAGGAAACAGGUCCAAAUGCAAUCGUAUAUGUUUCCACUAAAAUACUUCUGUACCAACCUCUGAUUCUUCACCACAGCAAACUGCAAGCUUCUGAUUCUCCUCCGGUGAUGUGCAUCUGUAACAGCACAUAUGUGUAAACUUCAUACAAUAAUAAUAAAUUAAGUCGUGAGAUAACAGAAUAACAUACCCAUACUUCAUUAAGCCCUGUGCAUCAGAGAGAAGAUAGCAGCCGCAUCGCCUGCCACCCGACGACGACGGCCCCGCCUCCCAACGCGUGCGCGCCGCACUUGGCCUCCUUCCGCGGUAUUGGUUCAUCGCGCGGCUUGGGUGGUGGGUGGGGUGCUGGUGGGGGCAUUUGACGGAUCCGACGCGGCGGAGAGGAUACGCUAUUCUAUGCUAUGGCGACGGGGACGGCAUGGGCAAAAUACAAAUCUGAUCCUUAGUCGCAAAAGAAUCACAAAUUGGGACUGCUCAGCUCACAUUG